This 319-nucleotide ribosomal RNA is filed under the name uncultured eukaryote. RNAcentral's name for it is "partial 18S ribosomal RNA". It matches the Rfam family "Eukaryotic small subunit ribosomal RNA", at positions 1470 to 1796 of the family's 1831-position model. The record is from RNAcentral.
CCCUUAGAUGUUCUGGGCAGCACGCGCGCUACAAUGGUCUUCGCAAACGGAUGCAUUCUCGAAGGAGAAUGCCAAUCUUGGAAUCUAUGCCUUGGUCGGGACAGUUGCUUGCAAUUUUUCGACUCGAACCAGGAAUUCCUUGUAAUCGUGAUUCAUCACAUCACGAUGAAUACGUCCCUGCCCUUUGUACACACCGCCCGUCGCUCCUACCGAUCGAAGAGUUAGGUGAAUUGUUUUGAUCGAUAAGAUUUGACUAUGGUCAACUCUCGUUGUGAAAUUCUGUGAAUCUGACUAUCUAGAGGAAGUAAAAGUCGUAACA